CUGUGCUUGUUUCCAAAAAAGAUAAAAGAUAAAAUUCAUAUGUACAGGAGACGUUUGCACACAUGCACAGGAUUAAAUAAGAGGAGGGGUUUUUACUGCUCAACAAGACAAAUCACAUAGAGUUAUUGUGCUUUCCUUCAUGUAAUCAUUGUCAGACUCCCCACUAGCUCUACUACAUCAGCUCUUCCCCUCUGAGGCCUCCAGCCUAGAGUUUCCUUUAUAGUAGUCCGACAUGCAAAUGGGGUGUCCACCAGACGAUAAAAUCAGACCCCACAGUUCUGGGGGACCAGCCCAGCCUGGAUUCCAGUGAUCCCAUUCAGUGGUCAGCUCAGAAACAGACAAGUCUCCAUGUUGUUGAAGCUGAGAUGGGUUUUCCUUGUGGCUCUUCUACAAGGUGUGCAGUGUGAGGUGCAGCUGGUGGAGUCUGGGGGAGGCUUGGUGCAGCCUGGGGGGUCCCUCAGACUCUCCUGUGUGGCCUCCGGAUUCACCUUCAGUAGCUAUGGCAUGAACUGGGUCCGCCAGGCUCCAGGGAAGGGGCUGGAGUGGCUCUCAUACAUCUAUGGUAAGAGUAGCACAUACUACGCAGACUCUGUGAAGGGCCGCUUCACCACCUCCAGAGACAACAGCAAGAACACACUUUACUUGCCGAUGAACAGCCUGAGAGUGGAGGACCAGGCCGUCUAUUACUGUGCUAGAGACACAGUGCAGGAAAUCCAGUAUGUCCUGUCCCAGCAGCUGCAGGAGUCACAGGCUGGCCUGGCAAAGCCCGUACGCAGUCGCUGUCCCCUGCCUGAUGGAGCCGGGUCCCACAGCCCCAGGGAAGCUGAUGGGAAGGACAGGAGACAUCUUCAACUGCAGCCGUCUCUCAGGAGUCGAGUCACAGUGUCUGAGGACACAGCCAAGAACCAGAUGUCCAUGAGCUGA
Molecule: non-coding RNA, 924 nt
Organism: Dipodomys spectabilis (banner-tailed kangaroo rat)
Lineage: Eukaryota; Metazoa; Chordata; Mammalia; Rodentia; Heteromyidae
Source: the annotation of a RefSeq genome assembly